GAUGAAGAACGCAGCGAAAUGCGAUACUUGGUGUGAAUUGCAGAAUCCCGUGAACCAUCGAGUCUUUGAACGCAAGUUGCGCCCGAAGCCUCGGCUAAGGGCACGUCUGCCUGGGCGUCACGCAUCGCGUCUCCCCCAAACCGCCAAGGCGGAGGGGAAGGAAGAUGGCUUCCCGUGCCUCACCCGGCGCGGUUGGCCUAAAUUUGGAGCCCGCGGCACUUAGCUCUCGCGGCGAUAGGUGGUGAACAAGGCCUUGGCCGUGCAAACAACCCGCUGCGAAGCUCUAUGUCACGUGCGCUCGUCGGACCCUUUGAAGUUGCCUUCGGUGACUUAAAACCUUUGCGACCCCAGGUCAGGCGGGGCUACCCGCUGAAUUUAAGCAUAUCAAUAAGCGGAUGA
Molecule: unclassified non-coding RNA, 399 nt
Filed under: soil metagenome
Description: partial contains 5.8S ribosomal RNA, internal transcribed spacer 2, and large subunit ribosomal RNA
Rfam family: 5.8S ribosomal RNA (bases 1-120)
Source: RNAcentral